AGCUAGCAUGGUGUAGUGGUUUAAGCAUUGGACUACAAAUCUGGAGGCCAGGGUUCAAAUCCCCACCUGGCCA
Non-coding RNA from Phrynosoma platyrhinos (Desert horned lizard), 73 nucleotides. The record is from the annotation of a GenBank genome assembly. NCBI's taxonomy places the organism in Eukaryota, Metazoa, Chordata, Lepidosauria, Squamata, Phrynosomatidae.